GCUUACGGCCAUACCAACCUGGCUAUGCCCGAUCUCGUCUGAUCUCAGAAGCUAAGCAGGUUUGGGCCUGGUUAGUACUUGAAUGGGGAGACCGCCUGGGAAUACCAGGUGCUGUAAGCU
RNAcentral lists this ribosomal RNA (120 nucleotides) under Carassius auratus (goldfish). Lineage: Eukaryota; Metazoa; Chordata; Actinopteri; Cypriniformes; Cyprinidae. The record is from RNAcentral.